CAAGUUACAAUUCAGAUUCGAUCCGAGCAAUUUAAAUUUAACUUAUUCAAAUUCAGUUUCUCAUGGCACAGAUUUCUGCCCAUAGUGGUCCUCCACACACUCCAGAGACAUAUGACGCGGCUGUUGCUGAUCUCCAGUCUGAAUCUAUCCAAGACGUAAGAGGAAUAAAGGUUGCAUUUCUUCUUCAGUGCAAGUAUGAGUGACUCAGAGCGAACCUUCCUAGAUGUCGCCAUCACGGAAGUCCUACCAGAACUUCAAGCUGUGAACAAAAACAUACUGGAAGAGCACUUGCAGUCCAUUGGAGUUGAGACAAGUGAUGAUCUAUGCUUCAUAAUGUAGCUUCUGCUCAGCGCUUUUGAAGAGAAGGAGGAGUCCAUGCUUUUCUGUGUUGAAGAUGCAUGUCUGGCAGAUGAGGUACAACUGGAGCAAGUGCCUCUGACACCCACUAUUAUUGUGUGUGGUGUUUCUUCUCCAUAAACCCAGAAAAGGAACCAAAGUACAGAACAAAAACUCAAAGCGUUGUCUCAGUGUGAACCCUCGAGUCCUCACCCCGAUUCAGGAUCUCGCUGACCACGAGUGGCGCUAAGCCUAAAUCUUGACUCUCUGUGGACUGUUGGUGUUACUUUGUUCCACAAUGUGUACAGAAACCUUUAACUGGUCGAAUGCAUGAAGCCAAUUCACCACGUAGUUUUCCUGAUGUGUUUUCUGACCAAGGCCAUGGUUGUGGUGACAGCAGGGUGCGUGUUGCAUUGCAUGGUGAUUAUGAUAAUUUUUGGCACAACAUGUGAUUUUUGUUUUAAAGUCUUAACAGGUUUAACUUUUUCUGGUAGAAGGUCUAACAAAUGCUUGUUUCAUGAAAGAUGGUUCUUGCUUUGCAGGAAUGCUCCACAGCUUUUAUAGCUUAUAUUUUGAUUGAAUUGUGUAGUUGCUGUGUGCCUUGCAUAUUGUGUUAGUUGGAAAAAAAAUGUAUCCAAUUGCUGUCAUUUGGCUAAUCUGGCUGUAAAAAUAAAUUUCCCAAAAGUGAUAUUUUCCUCUCUUGUGUUUUCUCAAGAUGUAUUUUUGCAUGUUUGGGUGUCGGCAUAGCAGUAUUAAAUUUCCUGGUUUAUGAUUAAAAUUUUACAUUAAAACAUUAUAAUAAAGCAUCGUAAUAGAUUUUAUGUAUGAUAUACAGAGCAGCUCGAUUUAAUAUGCACAGUUACACUGUUGUUCUACAAUUUUAAAUUAGUUUUUGUUUGACAUUUCCCUGUUAAUUUUACAAUUUAUGGAUCCACAAUAAGCAUUUAUUACUUGUAAAUGAUACAUGAAAUAGUCUAUUUAUAUAUAACAUCAAUGUGUGAAAUUAACUCCUUUUUUCUGUAGAUUUAACAGUUUUAAUGUGAAUUUCAUUCAGUGUAAAUCAAUUUAUAUAAUGCAUCUGUAAAGUGAUAUACUGUGCUGCUGUUUUUUUUUUUUUACAGGAAGUCCCUGGUGACCCCA
This is a long non-coding RNA of Oreochromis niloticus (Nile tilapia), 1476 nucleotides long. RefSeq lists it as uncharacterized. The record is from RefSeq and is a predicted model, not a curated record. The transcript is spliced from 3 exons. Lineage: Eukaryota; Metazoa; Chordata; Actinopteri; Cichliformes; Cichlidae.